UCUGCUUUCUUUUGGCUUGUGAUCCAUCCCCAGAAGAUACAAACUUUCAAAUUCUGUGUCUCUUUUUCAGGCUGCUCACAGCUGGCCGUUGCUGCUGCAGGAACUGCUGGAUUGCAACAAUCUGCAUCUCCAAGGCUUAAUCCCUGCUGAAUGUGCUGUUCCCUCAGCCCAGGCAUUUCUUCUACAAAAGGAGAGGAAGACUGGUGUUUCUAGGAGCAGAGUGGGCAUGUGUAGUAAGAGCACUCCUGCAGCUGUCUCCUCAGCAACUCCUGUGUUGCCAUCUGAUUCAACAUGUGCACAAGGAACACUUGCAAAGGGAGCUGAGUCAUUCUCUAAAUCUGGAACAUCGUCCUUGGAACACAAAACCUUCCUCUGCAGGACUUAAGGUAAGUCAUGUGGCAUUGACAUCCCUAAAAAAUUUGAAAUUAACAUGGAAGAAAAUUAAACAGCAUAUCGAUGGAUGAGAUAGGCGUGAUGGUUUCUCCAUGAUGUCAUUGCAUGUUGAUGAAGAGACAGCACUAUGAAAUAUGAGAUGCUAAUUUCAUCAAAAUACCACCCUGGUUUUGCAAGGAGCUACACAAAGAGCCAUUUCUUUUCUGCAAAAGGAAGGCUUGAUUAUUUAUAACUGUAAAAACAAAACCAGAAAAAUAACUGCCAUAUGUUUCCCAUUUUCUUCAUUUCCUUCCUAUUCCAUGAAGUAUAGAUAUUCCUAUUAAUUCAAAAAAAAGGCAAACUAUCACUUCUUGUCUCUGUUUUUCUUAAAUCUAGAAAUGUUUAGCAAAAUUAAUUUAAAACAGUCAAAUAUCUUGCCCUGUUUUUUUCAUUUUUAGAAUAAACUGAAGUGUUUUAGCUUUUGGUGUCUGUCC
This 866-nucleotide long non-coding RNA is filed under the name Serinus canaria (Common canary). RNAcentral describes it as "lncRNA (ENSSCAG00000011877.1)". Lineage: Eukaryota; Metazoa; Chordata; Aves; Passeriformes; Fringillidae. The record is from RNAcentral.